AACCAGUUCAGCUUAUUUCCUACUGGGAGUGAGACAAGUGGCGCAGUCAUGGGAGAAAGGUCACCUAAAGAGAAAUUAACUGAACAGUCAGGGCAUAAAUCAAAGGGGAAAGAGUCACUUUUAUACAUCCGUCUCCAUGAUUUUCAUGUCCAAUUUAUCAACAAGUUCUCAAUUGUUCCACCAAGAGUACUUGAAUCCGUCACUCCUUUUUUUUUUUUUUUUUAAAGACAGCAUCUCACUCUGUGGCCCAGGCUGGAGUGUGGUGGCACUAUCACAGUUCAUUACAGCCUCAACGUCUCGGACUCAGAUGAUCCUGCCACCUCAAUCUCCCAAGUAGUUGGGACCACAGAAGUGAUUCAGCACUCAGGAUUAUUGCCCACACCCCUACGAUUGCACCCCCAAGCAAUCACCAGCAAGCACCCAAUGCCUAGCCAUCCCCACCCCUUCCCCCAAACUACCUUUGAAAAACCCCUAACCUACCAGCCUUCAAUGAGAUUGAUUUGAGUAAUAACUCCAUCUCCAGUGUGGAGUGGCCAGCCUCACAUCAAUUAAACUCUUUCUUUACUGCAAUGCUAUGGUCUUUGUUUGUGCAGCAGGCAGGAAGAACUCCUCAGGCAGUUACACUUCGAGCCUUAAGACACCUUGAUGUCAGACUUCCAGUGCCCUGAAUUGUGACAGAAUAAAUUUCUGUUGUUUUAAAACU
RNAcentral lists this long non-coding RNA (703 nucleotides) under Homo sapiens (human). RNAcentral's name for it is "HSALNT0394781". The record is from RNAcentral. Lineage: Eukaryota; Metazoa; Chordata; Mammalia; Primates; Hominidae.